AAUAUCCUGAGAUGUGCGUUAAGGCUAUUUAAUUUAUCCAACAUUAUGACGCACGGGAACCCGGGUUUUCGUAUUCGAUGCAAGGCCGCGCCAAUUGCCGCGGAAGGCGGGGAUACGGGACAGGACAACCACUUUCGGGGAUAAGCUGUGUGAAUUAGUAGUCUGACGGCAUUUUGGGAGUUUU
RNAcentral lists this non-coding RNA (184 nucleotides) under Eubacteriales Family XIII. Incertae Sedis bacterium. Its description in RNAcentral is "6S RNA". It matches the Rfam family "6S / SsrS RNA". From Rfam's summary of the family: E. coli 6S RNA was the first non coding RNA to be sequenced, but its function was unknown until recently. The record is from RNAcentral. Lineage: Bacteria; Bacillati; Bacillota; Clostridia; Peptostreptococcales; Anaerovoracaceae.